UUCUUUUUUAUUUAUCCUCUAUUCUCUCUGGGUUCUCUAAUAUUUCCCACUUCCCAAAAGAUCUUUUCUUCUUUUUUUCCUUUUUCCUCCCUGGUUAAUUAUUGUUUCAUUUUUGUUUGAAUGCACGAGCAUAUCUUAUAUGACGAAUUGGAAUAUCUUAAUUGGGCUUCUUCUUAGGAUGAGAAAAACAAUGGAAUUGCUUAACUUUUGUUGGUUUUGAGUUCCAAUACUUCAAACUCUCAAUGCUGGAGCUUCCUAGCUAUGAAUUAAAAUGUGAUUCUGUGGCUGACUAUUGUACAAAUUUUGAAUUCAUGGGAGACAAAGUAUGCACUUGUAAAGAGCAGCAGGACCGUCCUGAUAGUACUUUUUAGUUAAACAAGAGGUUUUAACUGAAAUGUCUGCUUAUUUCUAAAAGAUUUGUGGUUUUACUGGACUAGUGUGAGCAAUUGCCAAUUGGUUAUUGUUUAGUUGAUUGCUGCAUUCCAAUAAUGUCAAUUGUUUAUCCUGUUAUAGGAUCACUGCAAGAAUUGCCUUGCAAAGCUUAAAGGGUCAGAAGUGAUAUUUUUUUGGUCAAGCAUUAGAAGUAAAUUUCAUGCUUAAGUUUCUUAAGUCCCAAUCAUUUACUUUUCCGACUUAUAAUAAUGCAGUCAGUUGCUUAUUGUUUCUGUUAGAUUAAAGACUUUCUGGUUUGGGCUGGCUGUAGCAAAUAUAAUAGCUUUGCUACAUUCUUUCUUAAUCUAGAGCCAAUUAGUAUUUCAGCUGUGGUAUUUAAUGUCAGAGAUCUAUUCCAAUAGCUAACCAUGGCAGUUCCUAGAUUGAAUGUAGACAAGCACCUGCUUUCACAAGUUAGAUGUGCAAUAUCAUGUUCAGCUUCCAGCUAACAAUUGAAUUAUUGUAACUUGUGACGGCCGUUUCCUCGUCUGCCAAUUGCAACCACACCCACGUACCCUCAAAAAAUUGAUAAAUAAAACAUGCUUCCAGAUCCGUAGCUCUUUCUGUGGUUUCUUGCUUGCAAUAGUUUAGCAUGAACAUGACUCUACUUUCCAUGCCUAAAUUCAUUCAAGGUGCCUAUUCUUGCUUAAAUUUCAGCAACAAAAUAAAUUUAUCGUGUUUCAUGUUGCUUUUGGAUCAG
This 1132-nucleotide unclassified non-coding RNA is filed under the name Hevea brasiliensis (rubber tree). Lineage: Eukaryota; Viridiplantae; Streptophyta; Magnoliopsida; Malpighiales; Euphorbiaceae. The record is from RNAcentral.